AAAUGCGAUAAGUAGUGUGAAUUGCAGAAUUCAGUGAAUCAUCGAAUCUUUGAACGCACAUUGCGCCCCUUGGUAUUCCAUGGGGCAUGCCUGUUCGAGCGUCAUUUGUACCUUCAAGCUCUGCUUGGUGUUGGGUGUUUUGUCUCGCCUCUGCGUGUAGACUCGCCUUAAAACAAUUGGCAGCCGGCGUAUUGAUUUCGGAGCGCAGUACAUCUCGCGCUUUGCACUCAUAACGACGACGUCCAAAAGUACAUUUUUACACUCUUGACCUCGGAUCAGGUAGGGAUACCCGCUGAACUUAAGC
RNAcentral lists this unclassified non-coding RNA (304 nucleotides) under plant metagenome. RNAcentral describes it as "partial contains 5.8S ribosomal RNA, internal transcribed spacer 2, and large subunit ribosomal RNA". The stretch from base 1 to 104 matches the Rfam family "5.8S ribosomal RNA", at positions 51 to 154 of the family's 154-position model. The record is from RNAcentral.